This 560-nucleotide ribosomal RNA is filed under the name uncultured bacterium. RNAcentral's name for it is "bacterial SSU rRNA". It matches the Rfam family "Bacterial small subunit ribosomal RNA", at positions 936 to 1500 of the family's 1533-position model. The record is from RNAcentral.
AUGAUGUGGUUUAAUUCGAUGCAACGCGAAAAACCUUACCCACCUUUGACAUGGCAGGAAUCCUAAAGAGAUUUAGGAGUGCUCGAAAGAGAACCUGCACACAGGUGCUGCAUGGCUGUCGUCAGCUCGUGUCGUGAGAUGUUGGGUUAAGUCCCGCAACGAGCGCAACCCUUGCCAUUAGUUGCUACGAAAGGGCACUCUAAUGGGACUGCCGGUGACAAACCGGAGGAAGGUGGGGAUGACGUCAAGUCCUCAUGGCCCUUAUAGGUGGGGCUACACACGUCAUACAAUGGCCGGUACAGAGGGUAGCCAACCCGCGAGGGGGAGCCAAUCCCACAAAGCCGGUCGUAGUCCGGAUCGCAGUCUGCAACUCGACUGCGUGAAGUCGGAAUCGCUAGUAAUCGCGGAUCAGCAUGUCGCGGUGAAUACGUUCCCGGGUCUUGUACACACCGCCCGUCACACCAUGGGAGCGGGUUCUGCCAGAAGUAGUUAGCCUAACCGCAAGGAGGGCGAUUACCACGGCAGGGUUCGUGACUGGGGUGAAGUCGUAACAAGGUAGC